This 120-nucleotide ribosomal RNA is filed under the name Ijuhya pachydisca. RNAcentral describes it as "partial large subunit ribosomal RNA". Lineage: Eukaryota; Fungi; Ascomycota; Sordariomycetes; Hypocreales; Bionectriaceae. The record is from RNAcentral.
CGGCAACAGCUCAAAUUUGAAAUCUGGCGCAAGCCCGAAUUGUAAUUUGUAGAGGAUGUUUCUGGCGCGGCGCCUUCCGAGUUCCCUGGAACGGGACGCCAUAGAGGGUGAGAGCCCCGU